UAAGACAGAGGGUGCAAACGUUGUUCGGAAUUACUGGGCGUAAAGCGCGUGUAGGCGGUUCGGUAAGUCGGAUGUGAAAGCCCGGGGCUCAACCUCGGAAGUGCAUUCGAUACUACCGUACUAGAGUACUGGAGAGGAUGGUGGAACUCUCGGUGUAGAGGUGAAAUUCGUAGAUAUCGAGAAGAACACCGGUGGCGAAGGCGGCCAUCUGGACAGAUACUGACGCUGAGACGCGAAAGCGUGGGGAGCAAACAGG
This 256-nucleotide ribosomal RNA is filed under the name uncultured bacterium. RNAcentral describes it as "partial 16S ribosomal RNA". It matches the Rfam family "Bacterial small subunit ribosomal RNA", at positions 521 to 776 of the family's 1533-position model. The record is from RNAcentral.